UACAUACUCUCUUCGUCCCAAAAUUUUUGUCUUAGAUUUGUCUAGAAAUGGAUGUAUCAAAAUACUAAAACAUGACUAGAUACAUUCAUAUCUAGACAAAUCUAAGACAAAAUUUUUGGGACGGGGGGAGUAUAUG
Molecule: microRNA precursor, 136 nt
Filed under: Hordeum vulgare
Lineage: Eukaryota; Viridiplantae; Streptophyta; Magnoliopsida; Poales; Poaceae
Description: microRNA MIR1122
Rfam family: MIR1120/MIR1122 microRNA precursor family
Source: RNAcentral